This 374-nucleotide ribosomal RNA is filed under the name uncultured bacterium. RNAcentral describes it as "bacterial SSU rRNA". It matches the Rfam family "Bacterial small subunit ribosomal RNA", at positions 524 to 898 of the family's 1533-position model. The record is from RNAcentral.
UACGUAGGUGGCGAGCGUUGUCCGGAUUUACUGGGCGUAAAGGAUGCGUAGGCGGAUAUUUAAGUGAGAUGUGAAAUACCCGGGCUUAACUUGGGUGCUGCAUUUCAAACUGGAUAUCUAGAGUGCGGGAGAGGAGAAUGGAAUUCCUAGUGUAGCGGUGAAAUGCGUAGAGAUUAGGAAGAACACCAGUGGCGAAGGCGAUUCUCUGGACCGUAACUGACGCUGAGGCAUGAAAGCGUGGGUAGCAAACAGGAUUAGAUACCCUGGUAGUCCACGCCGUAAACGAUGAGUACUAGGUGUAGGAGGGUCCAACCUUCUGUGCCGCAGUUAACACAAUAAGUACUCCGCCUGGGAAGUACGAUCGCAAGAUUAAA